RNAcentral lists this ribosomal RNA (249 nucleotides) under Clostridioides difficile. RNAcentral describes it as "partial 16S ribosomal RNA". It matches the Rfam family "Bacterial small subunit ribosomal RNA", at positions 157 to 400 of the family's 1533-position model. Lineage: Bacteria; Bacillati; Bacillota; Clostridia; Peptostreptococcales; Peptostreptococcaceae. The record is from RNAcentral.
GGUAUGCUAAUACGGGAUAAUAUAUUUGAGAGGCAUCUCUUGAAUAUCAAAGGUGAGCCAGUACAGGAUGGACCCGCGUCUGAUUAGCUAGUUGGUAAGGUAACGUCUUACCAAGGCGACGAUCAGUAGCCGACCUGAGAGGGUGAUCGGCCACAUUGGAACUGAGACACGGUCCAAACUCCUACGGUAUGCAGCAGUGGGGAUUAUUGCACAAUGGGCGAAAGCCUGAUGCAGCAACGCCGCUUUAGU